AUGGUUACUUGCAUGAUGUUCUGAUUUUGCAUGCUGUGACAGUUUUUACAAGAAAGACCCAAAUACUGUUGACUGUGUUUUUGCAUGGAUUCAGAGCUUCAAACUGUGUGCUGCACAAUGUAACUUCAUAUUAACAAAUCUGUUUUAUUAUUUUUGUAUUUUUGUUGUAGUAAGAUGACAGCCAAAAUUGCACCUGGCACAUGGGUGCUACUGAAAAACAAGGUUGGUUAUAAAGAAGUCUGCUAAAGUUGGGAGUGCUGAAGUGUCAAACCCUUAAUAAACUCAUGCUUUUUUUUUUUUUUUUAGGAUAUCCCCCAACAGAUUGGUGGUGUAGACUGUGGAGUCUUCAUGUUGAUGUAUGCUCUACAUCUUGUCUUGGGAGCACCCUUUGAUUUUACAUCUUGCGACUUUCCAAACAUACGGAGAUGGUGGGCUCUUAUUCUUCUGGAGAACUUUGGGGUUUUCUCUGAAAGGUAGAUACUGGACAUUUACUCCAGCCCACCGUUACAUUUGCACCCUCUUCUGAUUAAUUUUAAAUUAACCAAGAUAUAUAUAUAUUCCAGUGCAGAAACCCUACAAGAGUCCCUUCCAUGUGAAGA
Xyrauchen texanus (razorback sucker) is the source of this 599-nucleotide long non-coding RNA. RefSeq lists it as uncharacterized. The record is from RefSeq and is a predicted model, not a curated record. Lineage: Eukaryota; Metazoa; Chordata; Actinopteri; Cypriniformes; Catostomidae. The transcript is spliced from 3 exons.